GAUGGAAACACUUUGGAUCAGAAGCAUUCACAAGUCAGCACGUCCAACCCUUGUUCCGGGUCAGAAGCAGAAGCAAAAAUCAGAGAUGAUGACAAGGCUCUGCGAAUUCUGGGUGAAGAAAGAGCUUCGUUGACGUGGUGUACCCCAUGGAACUUCUUGCUUUCCAGCUGACAACGUCUUCUGUUUAAAAAACACACCAAAUAAACAAACAAAAACCCCUUGUGCUUCCAAUCAAGACUGAAGCUGAGAAAUUUUCCUGACGGGGUGAAAGCUGUAGCAUGCAUGGCCUGUUAGAUGUGCAUUCUUUGUUUGGACACACAGUCAGUGAGCAGAGCACGGAUUGUUUGUGAAGUGGCCUUCGGACUUCAACCCAGGACUGUGGAGAAAAGAAAGCAG
This is a non-coding RNA of Miniopterus natalensis, 396 nucleotides long. NCBI's taxonomy places the organism in Eukaryota, Metazoa, Chordata, Mammalia, Chiroptera, Miniopteridae. The record is from RefSeq and is a predicted model, not a curated record.